AUUGAACGCUGGCGGCAUGCUUUACACAUGCAAGUCGAACGGCAGCGCGGGCUUCGGCCUGGCGGCGAGUGGCGAACGGGUGAGUAAUGCAUCGGAACGUGCCCAGUAGUGGGGGAUAGCCCGGCGAAAGCCGGAUUAAUACCGCAUACGACCUGAGGGUGAAAGCGGGGGACCGAAAGGCCUCGCGCUAUUGGAGCGGCCGAUGUCGGAUUAGCUAGUUGGUGGGGUAAAGACUUACCAAGGCGACGAUCCGUAGCUGGUCUGAGAGGACGACCAGCCACACUGGGACUGAGACACGGCCCAGACUCCUACGGGAGGCAGCAGUGGGGAAUUUUGGACAAUGGGGGCAACCCUGAUCCAGCCAUGCCGCGUGCGGGAAGAAGGCCUUCGGGUUGUAAACCGCUUUUGUUCGGGAAGAAAUCCUCUGGGCUAAUACCCCGGGGGGAUGACGGUACCGGAAGAAUAAGCACCGGCUAACUACGUG
This 484-nucleotide ribosomal RNA is filed under the name uncultured bacterium. RNAcentral's name for it is "partial 16S ribosomal RNA". It matches the Rfam family "Bacterial small subunit ribosomal RNA", at positions 29 to 507 of the family's 1533-position model. The record is from RNAcentral.